This 72-nucleotide transfer RNA is filed under the name Marmota monax (woodchuck). Its description in RNAcentral is "tRNA.Ala". Lineage: Eukaryota; Metazoa; Chordata; Mammalia; Rodentia; Sciuridae. The record is from RNAcentral.
GUGUUGUGGCUCAGUGGUAAAGCACUUGCCUAGCAUGUGUGAGACACUGGGUUUGAUUCUCAGCACUGCAUA